This 559-nucleotide unclassified non-coding RNA is filed under the name Hevea brasiliensis (rubber tree). Lineage: Eukaryota; Viridiplantae; Streptophyta; Magnoliopsida; Malpighiales; Euphorbiaceae. The record is from RNAcentral.
AUAUAUACAAAUGUAGAAAGAUAGCAUGUAAUUGCUUUGGCUGAUUGGCGGUUCACUUUCUUCCUUGAUUAGGUUUCAUUCUCUAUUACAUUAUUACAGACACAGUGGACUUCUGCCUUUGCUGUAGGGUGCAUAGACUUGUUUAAAUUCUAUUUUACAAAUAUGAAAUAUCUGGUAAAAGAAACAUAUUCUUGAGCACUGACUGAAUUUAUUUACAGUUGUUUCGGCAACAACAGCAAAUCUGAGAGACGGUCAACGGAGAGUUCCUAAUGGUGUUUUGUAUGUAUACCACUUUGAGAUCAAGAGAAAGGCACCUAAAUUGAGCACACUCAUUACUGCCAACAUCCAGAAGAAGUAAUCGACAUGACCAUAAUUUAAGUUGUCGGGUAUCCACCCAGGUUUUCCAUUCCUGGUGGAGAUGCUUGUAGCAAUAGUCAUAAGGAGAGAACUCAAGUAAUUGCCAAGAGCAACUGUGGUGAGUGAUAAAGCAGAGCACAAGCUCCUCAUGGCAUCAGGUGCUUCCUGGUAGAAGAAUUCCAACUGCCCAAUGAAUGUAAAA